ACUAGCCUAGCAUACUAAAAUGUUUUUCUGUGAUCAUAAUAUGUGGAAGUGGCCGGUUAAUUACAGGCUUGGCUGCAAAAAGCAAUUAAUCAGAAAAGACAUAUAAAUCUGAAAGGCAUGAGAGCGUUGUUACGCCCAAAUUUCCGCCAACUGUUGCACAACCUUGUCAUAUGGAAGAUUAACAACUGCAAUUUCACGAUGAACAGGAACGCUUUCGGCCUGCAGCCAUUUUGAACGAAUCGCGACUGAUCCGUAUAUAAAUUUCUGCCGGUAACGUUAAUAUUCAGUUGCUCGAUUUAACACAUAUCAGUUUUCCAACGUCCCACAACCGGCAUCACCAUGAACUGCUAUUUCCUCGUGUCCGCCCUCGUCCUGGCUGUUUUCGUCCAGCCCAGCAUCCAAGGCCUGAUCGGCGGCAAUUCGCCCGGUGUGCCCAAGGAUAAGUGCGAGAUUAGCAGCAACAUUGGGGAGUGCACGGAUUUCGGAUGCAACGGCUUCUGCCUGGCUGAACAGGGAAUCCCCAGCGGUACCUGCCACAAUGCCAAGAAGCUCUUCGGCAAGAUGACCGUCGCUGGUAACUGCUGGUGCAACGGACCUUGCAAACAGCACAUCCUCCAGUUUGCCGGCAAAUAAAGGAUGAGUUGUGAAGGUCAUCUGGAUGGAUACAUCACCGCAAUAUCUACUGGUUUCUCUGGAUUAUUAAUCGAGCUUGAUGUAUUUUACUGAAUUCUUCAACGAAACACUAGUCCAUGGUUUAGUCGUGCUUUGCGGAGUUCGUAAAACCGCUGCGCUUGAAAUCUGCUUGCCUUAAGCGUUGUGAAUAUGCCGGAACUUUCCUCCUCGCUGAUUUCCGAAAAUGCUUACUCGGAUAACUUCUUCACGUGGUUGUAUUUUUCUAUGAGCCAAGAUUGCUGAUGAAAUGUACUGCGAAAAAAAAAGCAACAAGAAAAAGGAACUAA
Molecule: long non-coding RNA, 959 nt
Organism: Paramacrobiotus metropolitanus
Lineage: Eukaryota; Metazoa; Tardigrada; Eutardigrada; Parachela; Macrobiotidae
Exons: 2
Source: RefSeq, a predicted model, not a curated record